This 467-nucleotide ribosomal RNA is filed under the name uncultured bacterium. RNAcentral describes it as "bacterial SSU rRNA". It matches the Rfam family "Bacterial small subunit ribosomal RNA", at positions 917 to 1382 of the family's 1533-position model. The record is from RNAcentral.
GGGCCCGCACAAGCGGCGGAGCAUGUGGAUUAAUUCGAUGCAACGCGAAGAACCUUACCUGGGUUUGACAUGCACAGGACGCCGGCAGAGAUGUCGGUUCCCUUGUGGCCUGUGUGCAGGUGGUGCAUGGCUGUCGUCAGCUCGUGUCGUGAGAUGUUGGGUUAAGUCCCGCAACGAGCGCAACCCUUGUCUCAUGUUGCCAGCGCGUGAUGGCGGGGACUCGUGAGAGACUGCCGGGGUCAACUCGGAGGAAGGUGGGGAUGACGUCAAGUCAUCAUGCCCCUUAUGUCCAGGGCUUCACACAUGCUACAAUGGCCGGUACAAAGGGCUGCGAUGCCGUGAGGUUAAGCGAAUCCUUGGUAAAGCCGGUCUCAGUUCGGAUCGGGGUCUGCAACUCGACCCCGUGAAGUCGGAGUCGCUAGUAAUCGCAGAUCAGCAACGCUGCGGUGAAUACGUUCCCGGGCCUU